Regulatory RNA element from Cupriavidus sp. HPC(L), 52 nucleotides. It matches the Rfam family "DUF3800-VI RNA". Rfam says of the family: Actinobacteria, Planctomycetes, Proteobacteria, Spirochaetes. Nearby to DUF3800 NCBI's taxonomy places the organism in Bacteria, Pseudomonadati, Pseudomonadota, Betaproteobacteria, Burkholderiales, Burkholderiaceae. The record is from Rfam.
UAGUCGGGAGCGCUGAGACAUCGGUGCGUUGGACGAUUGUUCCACUCGGCUU